UACGUAGGGGGCUAGCGUUAUCCGGAAUUACUGGGCGUAAAGGGUGCGUAGGUGGUUUCUUAAGUCAGAGGUGAAAGGCUACGGCUCAACCGUAGUAAGCCUUUGAAACUGGGGAACUUGAGUGCAGGAGAGGAGAGUGGAAUUCCUAGUGUAGCGGUGAAAUGCGUAGAUAUUAGGAGGAACACCAGUUGCGAAGGCGGCUCUCUGGACUGUAACUGACACUGAGGCUCGAAAGCGUGGGGAGCAAACAGG
Molecule: ribosomal RNA, 252 nt
Filed under: uncultured bacterium
Lineage: Bacteria
Description: partial 16S ribosomal RNA
Rfam family: Bacterial small subunit ribosomal RNA
Source: RNAcentral